Molecule: long non-coding RNA, 2949 nt
Organism: Prinia subflava (tawny-flanked prinia)
Lineage: Eukaryota; Metazoa; Chordata; Aves; Passeriformes; Cisticolidae
Exons: 2
Source: RefSeq, a predicted model, not a curated record
AGCUGGAGGAGUUGACAGCAGAUUUUGGGUUAUGCCAACCACCAGACUAAUAUCUCAAGGAUAUAAAAUGCCACUCUGCAUGAAGAAAAAAGUUGGGAAAAUAUGUAAACAUUGAACUGAGUUGUGGUGCACUUGAUCCUGAUGCUACAUCUCCAAAUGGAGACAGAUGGAACAUGUGUGUGUUUAAAGCCACUUUUCCAAGACAGGAGAAUGCUCCAAUGGCAUAAUGUUACACCUGUACCAAGGGGUGAGUGCAGCACACCUCCCUGAGCAGGGACUGUUUAACCUUCACACUGCCUCACAUGAAGGGUUUGUCUCUGAAUGUUCUUCCUCAGCCCCUUCUUCUCUCAUUUCUUAACAUGGGGGCACACAACCAUUCAACUGCAAACCAGUUUUGUUUUCAUUUUAGCUUUCACAACCUUCCUGCUGUUUUUAAAUGAGUACAAGGUGUAGUGAGGGGUUUUCCUUGUUACCUUUCAUUGAAAUAUUCACACUAAGAUGGAAAAUUCCAGGGAGCAGUUAAGAAUGGGAGAAGGCAGGAUUACCAUACAUCAAAGGGAAAGCAGCAUUUGCUAACUCCUUCAUUUUGCAUGUAUGUGAUUCACAAACUGCUUCAUGAAAAUGGAAAAGUGAUCGAGGAAUCGCUCAGGUCCGGACAAAAAAAAAUAAAAUAAUAGCAACAACUUAAUUUCCAUGAAAAUGGGCUGGUCUCCAAAGCAUCUGCCAAGACCAGACACUGUGGUGCUUGCAGCUUUCCUUUGUUGGCUCUUGAAAGCAGGUAGAGCCAGGAACAUUCCCGUGCCUCGUGCCAAGCUGUAAGAUGUGGUACAUGACUUUCAGAUGAGGGAAUUUCACAUUUCUCCCUGAAUAUUUCACACUACAACAGCACAGAGAAAAGCACAGACGCUGCUGAAAUCAGGAGGUGAUGAAUUGAAAGGCUAAAAAUGGAUUCUUCAGCAUUACUCUGUAGUAUGGGGAACUGAGAAGGCAAUUAAAACCAACAUGAAAGGAGAUUUAACUGCAAAUCAGCAAAACCUGCUGAAGCCCGGAUGGCAAGAGGGGAAGAAUCACCCCAGGCCCUUCGCAGAGGAGGGCAGUGCCCUCAGCUCCACGGGCAGCUGAUGGGGAGGGAGGGACAGGCCCUUCCCGAGGCUCUGAGGGCGCAGUCCUCGGGCACUGAUUCACCCACACACACAGGGAAGAAAUGCGGGACGAACCCGGGCAGUCCCUCCGCGGGGAACACAGCCCAGCCUCCCCUGCCCACCCUGCCGGGUCACCGCGCCCAGCGCUGAAGGAAAAACCCAAGGAGGGCGCGAUGGGCCUGGCUGAGGCUCUGCCCUCCGCCCGCCAUCGUUCUGGGCGUGGGCUUUAAAUCUGAGCUCUGUGGACUCCAACACCUCCCCCGAGGACGGGCAGGGGGGAGCCGGGAGAAGGGGGAGAGGAGGCCCGGCAGCUGCUGAGGACACAGCGGGAGGACAGGCGAGACUGGUUUGGAAGGGGUGGGCAUGGAACGAGGCAGGGUGGGAACAGCCUCAGCCCGUCUCUUUGGUCAGGCAGCUUUUAGCAUUUCAAAGCCUUGCUUUCCUUUGUGACUCCAACCGCUGACUAAAACAGGCAAGCAGGUAUUUACAGGAUCAGCCCAGCCCCUCCUGCCUAGGUGGCCUGAAAGGCUCCGUUGCUGUGUCCUGCACGCAAAUCGCGGUGUCUCGUUCAAAGGCUUUCCUGGUGCCAGGGCAGGAUUAUGGAAAGGGAGAGCAGCGCCGGCUGUGGAAAAUGGAAAAUGGAAAAUGGAAAAUGUCAGGGCCCUGCUGCUGCUGCUGGUCACAUGGAAGAGCAGUAUUUGUGACAGGGAAGAGUGAAGGUGACUGCUGGGGAGAAUGGACACCUUGGAACAACCAUGAGAGCUUUUCCAGGUGAGCAGAAGAUCCUUCCCACUCCUGUUUUUUCCGGGGUAGCCAUUGACAACAUCCACAGCCCAGCAACCACAAGCAUUUACUGCUUGGGCAGAGCCAGGGAGGGACUGAUCCCGCCUCCCCUCGUUUCCUCAUUGCCUUUCCUCCUCCAUUUAUUUCCUUUGAGCUUUCCCCUUUGAUUAAACUUCUGGCAUAUUGGACUGUUUAAUAAUAAAACAGAUAACUCAUGGGAGAUGAUAUUUAUAAAAUCUACUUCCUUUUUUUUCACUUUUUGUAAGACCUUGAGAGAAAAUCUUGAACUACAUUCUUCCUUUAAAAAAAAAAAAAAAAAAAAAGCAGAACAAGUUUACAAGUUUUCAAACAAUCAAUGUUUUAUUUGGUUAAUUUAUUAAACACCUUUAAGACAAUUAAUUUUGGUCUGUACCCUUCUAUAAAAUGAUUCAAGUUCUGAACAAACCUCCAAUACAUAAAGCAAAGUUACUUUUACCAUACGCAAAUUUCAGAUCAAAAUACAACACUCUGUUUUCUUACAUUUAUAAAACCCGGUCAAAUACAAACGACAUUAAAAAAGAUAAAACACUUUCACUGAUCCUUGGUACAAUAUUACAGCACAAUUUGCACAGUGGCGACUAAGUCCUCAAAGCACAAGUCAAAUACUUUAAAAAGGGAGCCUCCCUUUAGUCACCCAACGUUCUACUGAACACGUAAACAAAGCGAGUGCUACUGAAUCCAGGAAAAUUCCCGUGUCCCUUUUCAUACCAUGUGUGAGCCACAAAGCAAUUCUGCAAGGGAAGCUACUGGUGAGUAACCAAAGAGCUUUCCUACUUUGCUGUUACCAGUUUUUUGUGCAACUAUUCCGUGAAAAUAAACAAAUGGAGGUGGACCAGACUCUGCACUGGGCAAUUUAUGGCAACUAAAGUAAACCAAGAAACGAGUGUUUUUUCUAAAAACAGACCAAAAAGCUAUUUAAAAAACCUCAAUACCAAAUUAUCCAUGGGUACAACUGGAGUAACUGCCUUUUGCUUCACCUUCAAGA